Long non-coding RNA from Etheostoma spectabile (orangethroat darter), 487 nucleotides. RefSeq lists it as uncharacterized. The transcript has 2 exons. The record is from RefSeq and is a predicted model, not a curated record. Lineage: Eukaryota; Metazoa; Chordata; Actinopteri; Perciformes; Percidae.
CUGCCGAAACCAAAUCCCGAAUCCUACUCCCAUCCUCAGUCCAUUAACACAGAAACACAUUAAUGAAGUAAACAACGUCCACUGCAGUGUAUUUUUUUUUUUAGCUGUGACUGUUCUUCCUUUGCCAUACCUGAAGUUUGGCUGCUGUCUGUAGAUUCCUUCGUGCACAACUUGCAUUCUUACGGAUGAUUUAUACACAAAUGUUUUAACAGCGGCGAGAUUGUGUAUUGUUUAGGGUCCUUGCCACCACAAGACAAAUCAGCAUUGCAAACUGAACAUGUAGCUCGACUUGAAUUGCCUUCUUUUGACUGAAAGUACUGCCAAACAAAACUAUUUCUACUCACAAGUUCCAUUUUCACUUUCUUACAGCCUACUGCAUUGAACGGUCCACCUAUGUAGACACCUUGCUGUAACCAACGGCGGCGUCAUUACGCCGACCAGCAUAGCGCGCGUAGUUCAAAUGUAGGGUUCUGUUCAGUGGGGAAAA